This 467-nucleotide ribosomal RNA is filed under the name uncultured bacterium. RNAcentral's name for it is "bacterial SSU rRNA". It matches the Rfam family "Bacterial small subunit ribosomal RNA", at positions 30 to 507 of the family's 1533-position model. The record is from RNAcentral.
AUUGAACGCUGGCGGUAUGCUUAAGACAUGCAAGUCGAACGGUAACAGGUUAAGCUGACGAGUGGCGGACGAGUGAGUAACGCGUGGGAAUCUACCUUGUAGUGGGGGAUAAGCCAGGGAAACUUAGGACUAAUACCGCAUACGCCCUAAGGGGGAAAGGCGCAAGUCGCUAUAAGAUGAGCCCGCGUCUGAUUAGGUAGUUGGUGGGGUAAAGGCCUACCAAGCCGACGAUCAGUAGCUGGUCUGAGAGGAUGAUCAGCCACGUCGGGACUGAGACACGGCCCGGACUCCUACGGGAGGCAGCAGUCGGGAAUAUUGGACAAUGGGGGAAACCCUGAUCCAGCAAUACCGCGUGUGUGAAGAAGGCCUGCGGGUUGUAAAGCACUUUUGUUCGGGAAGAAAACGGAUCGGUUAAUACCCGGUUCGGAUGACGGUACCGAAAGAAUAAAGCACCGGCUAACUUCGUG